AGUAUAGCCAAUUGAGAAAAUCUGAUUCACACUAUAAAAUCAAAGGGAAGCUGUUAAGUAUGUGAAGCUGGUAAGUAAUUGGGCUAAAUAAGAAUUUUCCCCAGGUGAAAAUGGGGACCCGAACUGAAAAUGGAGGAAACCCACCUCCUGAGUCUUUGGUGAAAGAGUGAAGCUAUAUUCCAGACUACGACUUUAUGACCUUUCUAUCACUUGGUAAGGAGUGAUCCCAAAAAGUGGUGUGAUCCUUGCAAGUGAGUAAGAUGCCUGCCUUCCUGGAGGCCCGGAGAAAUUGAGGGAGGGAAAGCGUCCUUCAAGAUGCGGAAUCACGCAAGGCAGUGGGACUAGGAAUCCCUUUUAAAGUUUCUCUAAAUCACUUAAAGUCAUCUAUCCUUCGUCAUGAGAAGAUACCUGUUGGAACAGAAGUAAAGCCGCUCUUGACCCAGGAAGGGUUAAUAAUCACUGGAAAAGGCUUGCCAGCAAACUGUGACCCGGAGGUGAGAAGGCCGGUUAGCCAAUGACAGCAAUAUGAACAGAAGUUGUGAGAGGGAAGAUGUUAAAGAGAAAGAUACAAUGAUCGGCAAACAACUGAAGAAAAUAGCUGCCUCUCUCUCCAGUCAGAUCACCUAAAUUAGCCAAGUUGUUAAGAACUGCUUUUGUUGCUUUUUGUUUGCUUGCUGCUGUAGAAAUACAUCAGGACUAAUUCUGUGGAGUCUGUCUCCUUUGAAGUGACUGGCCACUGAUGUCUCCACUUCAUUUAUAUGUUUAAGUCUGGAUUCCUAUAAUGUGUCCUUCUGUAUGCAAAGCUUCAGAGUCAACCAGUGACUGGUGCCGAUCCAGGUGCUGAUGCGUGGAUCCAGGUGCUGAAUCGUGGAUGAAGGUGCUGAUGCAUAGAUCCAGAUGCUGAGCUGUGGAUCCAGGUGCUGAUGCAUGGAUGUGUUCUUUAUGCAAAAAUUCGUAAAUUCUUAUUCUUUGAUUU
This 976-nucleotide long non-coding RNA is filed under the name Equus asinus (donkey). RNAcentral describes it as "lncRNA (ENSEASG00005038391.1)". The record is from RNAcentral. Lineage: Eukaryota; Metazoa; Chordata; Mammalia; Perissodactyla; Equidae.